Molecule: ribosomal RNA, 486 nt
Filed under: uncultured bacterium
Lineage: Bacteria
Description: partial 16S ribosomal RNA
Rfam family: Bacterial small subunit ribosomal RNA
Source: RNAcentral
AUUGAACGCUGGCGGCAUGCCUUACACAUGCAAGUCGAACGGCAGCACGGGUGCUUGCACCUGGUGGCGAGUGGCGAACGGGUGAGUAAUACAUCGGAACAUGUCCUGUAGUGGGGGAUAGCCCGGCGAAAGCCGGAUUAAUACCGCAUACGAUCUACGGCUUAAAGCGGGGGACCUUCGGGCCUCGCGCUAUAGGGUUGGCCGAUGGCUGAUUAGCUAGUUGGUGGGGUAAAGGCCUACCAAGGCGACGAUCAGUAGCUGGUCUGAGAGGACGACCAGCCACACUGGGACUGAGACACGGCCCAGACUCCUACGGGAGGCAGCAGUGGGGAAUUUUGGACAAUGGGCGAAAGCCUGAUCCAGCAAUGCCGCGUGUGUGAAGAAGGCCUUCGGGUUGUAAAGCACUUUUGUCCGGAAAGAAAUCCUUGGCCCUAAUACGGUCGGGGGAUGACGGUACCGGAAGAAUAAGCACCGGCUAACUACGUG